This 269-nucleotide ribosomal RNA is filed under the name uncultured bacterium. RNAcentral's name for it is "partial 16S ribosomal RNA". It matches the Rfam family "Bacterial small subunit ribosomal RNA", at positions 355 to 620 of the family's 1533-position model. The record is from RNAcentral.
UGAGGAAUAUUGGUCAAUGGGCGCAAGCCUGAACCAGCCAUCCCGCGUGCAGGAAGACGGCGCUAUGCGUUGUAAACUGCUUUUCCAGGGGGAGAAACUUGCGCACGUGUUGCGCAAUUUACGGUACCCUGGGAAUAAGCAUCGGCUAACUCCGUGCCUGCAGCCGCGGUAAUACGUAGGAUGCGAUCGUUAUCCUGUUUCAUUGGGUUUAAAGGGUGCGUAGGCGGACUAUUAAGUCAGUGGUGAAAUCCUGCAGCUUAACUGCAGAA